GGGGCCGUAGCUCAGUCGGGAGAGCGUCGCGUUCGCAAUGCGAAGGUCGGGAGUUCGAAUCUCCUCGGCUCCACCA
This 76-nucleotide transfer RNA is filed under the name Paracoccaceae bacterium. RNAcentral describes it as "tRNA-Ala". It matches the Rfam family "tRNA". Rfam says of the family: Transfer RNA (tRNA) molecules are approximately 80 nucleotides in length. Their secondary structure includes four short double-helical elements and three loops (D, anti-codon, and T loops). The record is from RNAcentral. Lineage: Bacteria; Pseudomonadati; Pseudomonadota; Alphaproteobacteria; Rhodobacterales; Paracoccaceae.